UACGUAGGUGGCGAGCGUUGUCCGGAAUUACUGGGCGUAAAGGAUGCGUAGGCGGAUGAUUAAGUGGGAUGUGAAAUACCCGGGCUCAACCUGGGGGGUGCAUUUCAAACUGGUCGUUUAGAGUGCAGGAGAGGAAAGUGGAAUUUCUAGUGUAGCGGUGAAAUGCGUAGAUAUUAGGAAGAACACCAGUGGCGAAGGCGACUUUCUGGACUGUAACUGACGCUGAGGCAUGAAAGCGUGGGGAGCAAACAGG
Molecule: ribosomal RNA, 253 nt
Filed under: uncultured Clostridium sp.
Lineage: Bacteria; Bacillati; Bacillota; Clostridia; Eubacteriales; Clostridiaceae
Description: partial 16S ribosomal RNA
Rfam family: Bacterial small subunit ribosomal RNA
Source: RNAcentral